Molecule: unclassified non-coding RNA, 201 nt
Filed under: fungal sp.
Lineage: Eukaryota; Fungi
Description: partial internal transcribed spacer region
Rfam family: Eukaryotic small subunit ribosomal RNA (bases 1-65)
Source: RNAcentral
CGUCAUUUAGAGGAAGUAAAAGUCGUAACAAGGUUUCCGUAGGUGAACCUGCGGAAGGAUCAUUACAAAUCUUUGUAUAGCUCUUAUGCUGUACGUUAACGCGGGACUUAUUGUCCCGACGUGUACUCGUUUAUGUUUUUGACUGUUUUUAGAGUAAUACAAAAUAAAAGACAACUUUUAACAAUGGAUCUCUAGGCUCUU